This 454-nucleotide ribosomal RNA is filed under the name uncultured organism. Its description in RNAcentral is "bacterial SSU rRNA". It matches the Rfam family "Bacterial small subunit ribosomal RNA", at positions 346 to 794 of the family's 1533-position model. The record is from RNAcentral.
GCGCAGCAGGCGAGAAUUUUUCUCAAUGGGGGCAACCCUGAAGGAGCGACGCCGCGUGGAGGAUGAAGGCUUUCGGGUUGUAAACUCCUGUCAUUUGAGAACAAGUGCCAACAAGUAACUACUGUUGGCUUGAUAGUAUCAGAAGAGGAAGGGACGGCUAACUCUGUGCAGCAGCCGCGGUAAUACAGAGGUCCCAAGCGUUGUUCGGAUUCAUUGGGCGUAAAGGGUGCGUAGGUGGCGUGGUAAGUCGGGUGUGAAAUUUCGGAGCUUAACUCCGAAACUGCAUUCGAUACUGCCGUGCUUGAGGACUGGAGAGGAGACUGGAAUUUACGGUGUAGCAGUGAAAUGCGUAGAGAUCGUAAGGAAGACCAGUGGCGAAGGCGGGUCUCUGGACAGUUCCUGACACUGAGGCACGAAGGCUAGGGGAGCAAACGGGAUUAGAUACCCGUGUAGU